UACGUAGGGUCCGAGCGUUGUCCGGAAUUACUGGGCGUAAAGAGCUCGUAGGUGGUUUGUCGCGUUGUUCGUGAAAACUCACAGCUCAACUGUGGGCGUGCGGGCGAUACGGGCAGACUGGAGUACUGCAGGGGAGACUGGAAUUCCUGGUGUAGCGGUGAAAUGCGCAGAUAUCAGGAGGAACACCGGUGGCGAAGGCGGGUCUCUGGGUAGUAACUGACGCUGAGGAACGAAAGCGUGGGUAGCGAACAGG
RNAcentral lists this ribosomal RNA (253 nucleotides) under uncultured bacterium. Its description in RNAcentral is "partial 16S ribosomal RNA". It matches the Rfam family "Bacterial small subunit ribosomal RNA", at positions 524 to 776 of the family's 1533-position model. The record is from RNAcentral.